RNAcentral lists this ribosomal RNA (395 nucleotides) under uncultured bacterium. RNAcentral describes it as "partial 16S ribosomal RNA". It matches the Rfam family "Bacterial small subunit ribosomal RNA", at positions 338 to 730 of the family's 1533-position model. The record is from RNAcentral.
CCUACGGGUGGCAGCAGUGAGGAAUAUUGGUCAAUGGUCGCGAGACUGAACCAGCCAAGCCGCGUGAAGGAUGACGGUACAGCGUGUCGUAAACCUCUUUUGUCAAGGAAUAAAGUGAGGCACGUGUGCCUUUUUGUAUGUACUUUAUGAAAAAGGAUCGGCUAACUCCGUGCCAGCAGCCGCGGUAAUACGGAGGAUUCAAGCGUUAUCCGGAUUUAUUGGGUUUAAAGGGUGCGUAGGCGGUCGUUUAAGUUAGAGGUUAAAUCCCGGGGAUCAACUUCGGAACUACCGUUGAUACUGGCAGGCUAGAGUGGAGUAGAGGUAGGCGGAAUGUGUGGUGUAGCGGUGAAAUGCUUAGAGAUCGUACAGAACACCGAUUGCGAAGGCAGCAUACC